Arachis ipaensis is the source of this 1127-nucleotide non-coding RNA. Lineage: Eukaryota; Viridiplantae; Streptophyta; Magnoliopsida; Fabales; Fabaceae. The record is from RefSeq and is a predicted model, not a curated record.
UCCAUCAGAAGCUGCAGCAGCAGCCGCAAGCCCCUUUCUCCCCCCAAAAACGAAAAGCACACACACAAAACAGGGGAGGAGAACUUCUGAGAGAGAUGAGGGAAAGGGAGGAAGCACGGCGCCGGCGGGCGUCACUGCCGCCGCGCCGCCGUGUUGCAUCAGGGAGGGCGAGUGAGCGAGCAAACAGACACGAGAGGGAGAGGAUCGCGCCGCCACGGUCGUCCAGGAGAAGCGCCGGAGAAGCUGCUGCGCGGCCCAGAAUCCGCGUUCAACUCGCCGCCGUUCAGACUCCAGUUGCUGUCACCCUCGUGCAGGCGCUGUCGCGAGGUAGCCUUGCAUCCGCCGCCGUCUUCGCGGGGCUUAUGUGUGGCCGCGGUUGCUCCUCGCCGUGGAGCCGUGUCGUCGUCCUUCAGCCAUCACCAAAGCAGAGACGCGCGAGGGAGGUGGACGCUGCCAGAAGCACCGUGCCGCCGCCGCUGCCUGUGCUGUCGUUGUCGUCGCCGACAUUCUCGAGCGCCGCCAUCAGAAAUGGUUCAGGUCGCCGUUAAUGGAGCUGGUUGGGGUUGUUCCAAGGCUUUGCCGCUGCUGCCAGCUCCUGGGUGCCGUUCAAGUCGCCGCUCCUGCCGCCCAAAACUUCGCUGCCGUCGCUGGAGAACUUUGCCGGUAAGGGUUUUAAAUUUGUGGCUUCGGUCAUUUUGAGUUUCGAGAAGGUUUUGAUGCUGUACGACUCUUCUAGUUGAUCUGCCGGAGCUUCUGGCCGCCGCCGGAGCUGUUGCCGGGCCGGUUCGAAAUCGUAGUUGCCUCAUUGUGUUGUUUCGUGUUGCUAUGGUUAUUGCGAACGUGACUGGAAGCUGAGGUUUUGGCUGCCGGAAUUGUGGUUGUGGAUUUCGGGUCGAGGCGAAAAGGACUUUUUGGCGCGUUUGAGUUAUGGAUUUGCGUUUUGAGGAUAUGGGCGCAGAAGUUACGAAGAGUUCUUUUAGUUGUGGUUGAAAUGCUUUGUAUUGCUUUAGACUAUUAUUUGUACCCUCGCCUUUAUCUUGAGAUAUUCUGUAAGAGGGAUAGUAAUUGUAUUGGAUUAUGUUUGUAAUAUUACUUAUAUAUAUGUAUGUAUAUAUAUGGAUGUGCUC